This 503-nucleotide ribosomal RNA is filed under the name uncultured bacterium. Its description in RNAcentral is "partial 16S ribosomal RNA". It matches the Rfam family "Bacterial small subunit ribosomal RNA", at positions 30 to 523 of the family's 1533-position model. The record is from RNAcentral.
AUUGAACGCUGGCGGCAGGCUUAACACAUGCAAGUCGAGCGGGGUGAUGGUGCUUGCACUAUCACUUAGCGGCGGACGGGUGAGUAAUGCUUAGGAAUCUGCCAAUUAGUGGGGGACAACAUCUCGAAAGGGAUGCUAAUACCGCAUACGUCCUACGGGAGAAAGCAGGGGAUCACUUGUGACCUUGCGCUAAUAGAUGAGCCUAAGUCGGAUUAGCUAGUUGGUGGGGUAAAGGCCUACCAAGGCGACGAUCUGUAGCGGGUCUGAGAGGAUGAUCCGCCACACUGGGCCUGAGACACGGCCCAGACUCCUACGGGAGGCAGCAGUGGGGAAUAUUGGACAAUGGGGGGAACCCUGAUCCAGCCAUGCCGCGUGUGUGAAGAAGGCCUUAUGGUUGUAAAGCACUUUAAGCGAGGAGGAGGCUCUUUUGGUUAAUACCCAAGAUGAGUGGACGUUACUCGCAGAAUAAGCACCGGCUAACUCUGUGCCAGCAGCCGCCGUAA